GAUGAACGCUAGCUACAGGGCCUUUAACACAUGCAAGUCGAGGGGCAGCGCAGUGUAGCAAUACAUUGGGGCGGCCGGACCGGCGCACGGGUGCGUAACGCGUAUCCAACCUUCCCGUUACUCAAGGGAUAGCCUUCCGAAAGGGAGAUUAAUACCUGAUGGUGUUCAAAUUCCGCAUGUUAUUUGAACUAAAGAUUUAUCGGUAACGGAUGGGGAUGCGUGACAUUAGAUAGUAGGCGGGGUAACGGCCCACCUAGUCUACGAUGUCUAGGGGGUUCUGAGAGGAAGGUCCCCCCACACUGGUACUGAGACACGGACCAGACUCCUACGGGAGGCAGCAGUGAGGAAUAUUGGUCAAUGGACGAGAGUCUGAACCAGCCAAGUCGCGUGAAGGAAGACUGCCCUAAGGGUUGUAAACUUCUUUUGUAUGGGAAUAAAAAGCGGGACGUGUCCCAUAUUGUAUGUACCAUACGAAUAAGGAUCGGCUAACUCCGUG
Molecule: ribosomal RNA, 496 nt
Filed under: uncultured bacterium
Lineage: Bacteria
Description: bacterial SSU rRNA
Rfam family: Bacterial small subunit ribosomal RNA
Source: RNAcentral